Molecule: ribosomal RNA, 1180 nt
Filed under: human gut metagenome
Description: bacterial LSU rRNA
Rfam family: Bacterial large subunit ribosomal RNA
Source: RNAcentral
GUUGGCUUAGAAGCAGCCACUCAUUUAAAGAGUGCGUAAUAGCUCACUAGUCGAGUGAUUGUGCGCCGAAAAUGUAACGGGGCUAAAAUUCAUACCGAAGCUUAGGAAUGAUAGUAAUAUUGUUGGUAGAUGAGCGUUGUGUAAGUCUGCGAAGCUACACCGAAAGGAGUAGUGGAGAUAUCACAAGUGAGAAUGCCGGAAUGAGUAGCGAGAAUUAUGUGAGAAUCAUAAUGGUCGAAAAUCUAAGGUUUCUUGAGGAAGGUUCGUCCGCUCAAGGUAAGCCGGGAGCUAAGGCGAGGCCGAGAGGCGUAGUCGAUGCACAUACGGUAAAGAUUCCGUAGCCACCGAAGUCGUUAAAUACAGGGACACAGGAACAUAGCCUAACCCCACCGUUGGUUGAGUGGGGCGUAAGGGAGCGAAAAUUAGUAGCGAAGUAGGUGAUUGUACACUGGCGAGAAAAGCUGUAUGAAUUGACAAGGUGCCCGUACCGCAAACCGACACAGGUAGAUGAGGAGAGAAUCCUAAGACCAGCGGGAGAAGUGUUGUUAAGGAACUCGGCAAAAUGACCCCGUAACUUCGGGAUAAGGGGAGCCUACGCGAGUAGGCCGCAGAGAAUAGUCUCAAGCGACUGUUUAGCAAAAACACAGGUCUAUGCUAAAUCGAAAGAUGAUGUAUAUGGGCUGACGCCUGCCCGGUGCUGGAAGGUUAAGGGGAAGUGUUAGAGCAAUCGAAGCACUGAACUUAAGCCCCAGUAAACGGCGGCCGUAACUAUAACGGUCCUAAGGUAGCGAAAUUCCUUGUCAGGUAAGUUCUGACCCGCACGAAUGGCGUAACGAUUUGGGCACUGUCUCAACAGCCCGCCCGGCGAAAUUGUAGUACCGGUGAAGAUGCCGGUUACCCGCGACAAGACGGAAAGACCCCAUGGAGCUUUACUGUAGCCUAAUAUUGGGUUUCGAUGUUGCAUGCACAGGAUAGAUGGGACACUGGGAAGCAGGUGCUUUGGCGCUUGUGGAGUGGCCGUUGGGAUACCAUCCUUGCGAUAUUGGAAUUCUAACCUGCGCCUUUGAAUCAAGGCGGGGGACAUUGUUAGGUGGGCAGUUUGACUGGGGCGGUCGCCUCCUAAAGAGUAACGGAGGCGUUCAAAGGUUCGCUCAGCUUGAACGGAAAUCAAGCAAAAGAG